UGGCCGUCCGAUUAAAACACCAUUAAAGCACCAAGAGAAUAGAAGCUUCGAAUAUCUCCAUUUUUCUUCCAAAAACACUGUAAUGGAAACUUUCAAUCGUGAAGCGAGAGAGAAGACAAGGACAUUAGCGAGUGGAUUACUGUGGAUUAAUUUAUUUUUUCAUAUAUCAUUGCUUGAGAUGAACUCAAGAAAAUCUCCGAAACUGAACUCUUUGUAGGAUGCUGGAUGUUGUUCGUCUACAAGCUCUUUUGCCGGCGCCAUUUUAUUGUUUAAAGGUAAACUGUGAAGACUUGCUAUCGAAAUCCGCUUUUUCUCAGAGCUAACAAUUGCUCGGUGAACCACACUCUUAUAUUGGCCAUUGCUUAAUACUUCUAGCUGAUCUCCCAACUGAACUACCAGUGCUCCUUCAGUCACUUGAACUGAGCACCAGUUCUUGUCCCGGUCCAUGAGCUCUAAACCAGUGCAGCUCUGGUGUAAGAUUGUCAGUGAUCCAUAGUCUGAAUGUGGUGGCAUCCCUAAUGCGAGUUGUGGUUCAGGACAUGCUGGAUAGAAAUUUACGGCCAUAACUUGUGAUCCUUCUUCACUCUCAUUGUGCAAGUACUUAGGUGUCAGGCCUAAGCUCUCUAGAACAACUUCCAUUAGUUGUUUUUGUAAAUUUUGCACAGCUGUUGCAUAGUUCCCCAUUUUCUCCCUGUAUGACCAAACAAAUAAAUAAGAUAUUUUAGGCAAUGUCAAAAAAUGGCAGCAGCAGGUUCGAUCUCAUUGCAUUGUAUUAUCAUUUUUGUUCUUUUCUGCUUGGUUUCUUUUUAAAAAGGUGAAGGCAUGACGCAUAAACUCGUUUUGAGCUGAUGUUAACCACUGCCUAUUGUAAAUGGCCAUAAAUGGAUCCAGUCUGAGAGGGGAUGGGAGUAAUGCUUGAUAAAGUCUCUCCAAAAGUGAACCUCGUCUUUUGCAUGAUUUAAACUGGUGCCAUAUCUUACCGGUGCAUGCACGUUGGUAGACAGUAGAAGCAUUUUCUCCUCGAGAGGCAAGUUAAAGAAGUCUGUUGCCGCCUGCAGAGCAUCUUCCAUUACAGAAAGAGGGAUCCCAUGAUUUAUAACCUGAAAACAUGAGACAGGGACCCAUCAUCCAGAGAUAGGGGAACCUGAAUUAUUAGAGGAAAUAGUGAAUAUAUGCAAUUGGGAGUGACGGGCACGCUCCAUGCAGGAGCUUGAGGUUAGUACUUUAUAUUUCAUGUCAUGUACGAGGCAUACAACCAAUUCCACAAGAGAACAAAACUUAAGCUCCCCAUGUUAUAAGAUAUAAUAUUGCUGUUAAACAUUAAAUCUGUGUACCUAUUUGAUUUGUUGAAUCCGGACCAAAAAAAGUUUAAAAUUUUUCAUCUCUCUAUGCAAAUGUUAGAAAUCUAUAUAGGAAGGUAAAAUACCAUAUGUGAUCUAACUAAAUACUUUUUUCUACUUGUUUCUAUAUGGUUGUUAGUUUCUCUGUUUUGUUGCAUUGCCGUCGGUGAAAUCUUCUACCGUUUUGGUUUUUUCAUUGGCUGUCUGUAUUUUGGUCAUAUUUGAGAUCUAAGUUAAACUAAGUAGCUAUUUUAAAUAAAAUUCAAGUUGAUCGGAAGGAAACAUUUUUGCUUUGUUAGCUUUAUUAGUUGAAGUGUGCUUAAAGUCGGAAAAUCCAAAUUCAUCAAUAUAUUGUUUGGUUCAAUCUUGUUUUAGAAUUUAUUUUAAUUUUAGGUGAAUUAUAUGGUAACAAAACAUUCUAAAUGAAAUGAAAUAACCGAAUAUUAUGUUUGGAGUAAAUUAAUUUAAUUAAAUAUUUUGUUUUCUCGAACAUGUCUAUAUAUUUUAUAUUCUUUAUUAUUUUCUUUGGAAUAAACGCACAUAUUUUUUGGGAAUUAUAUAGUAAAAUAUCAUUUUAAAUGACUACCACCGACUCUUAUAUAAGUUAAUCGGUGUAGUUACUAUAGUUCUAUAAGAAUCGCCACGUAUUUAUGUCAUUUUCCUUGUAUAUUAUUUCCUUUUUUUUCUUUUAAGUUUGUAAGAGUCUGAAAAACAGUUAUAUGCUCUCUAAUAAAUUUAAUGUCCUGGUAGUAAUAGUAAAAUGUUUUUGUUUUAAUUUUUUCUCUUACGACAUAUAUGUAAGUGGGAUAUGUAUAUGAGGACCCAAACAUGAUAAUUUAAAUAAACUUUCAAGUAAGACAAACAACUCGUCAUAUGUUAGCUUUAUUGUUAUUGUGUGUCAAAAUACAAAAAGUAUUACGUAGGUUGGGGUUCAAUAUUCAAUAUGUAUUGUAUCUCUUGCAAUGAAAACCAGAUUAAGUUCAAAGCGUAUUGCAAGUCAAAACCAGCAGAAUUGAUUCUUUGGGUGACAUCUUGUGGAAUGGCCUUUUAUUUAAGAAGUCUUGUCACUAUGUGAUAAAUUCCGGCAAAUGGCCUGAGCUCCAAUUUCAUUCAUGAAAUUAACCGGCACACCGAGAUUACACUUACUUCUUCGGCAGGUAAUUUAUCUGGAUAUGACCAAACUUGUAGCUAGUGGCGGAUUAAAAAAAAGAACUGUUUUAAGAUAGAUAAAAACAUAAAUUUGAAAAAAAAAAAAGAAAAAAAUGCCAGCAAAUAUGUUUAAAAUUAAGGUAUAGCAUGUAAUUUUCUCUUGCUGAAAUGGCGGGUCUUUACUGGAUUUUUUUUUAUAAAAUUUUUCUUAAAGUGAGAUUGUUUAUAAAAAUAUGAUUUUAGUAGUUUUUUAGUAGCUAGCAAAUCUUAUAGUAUUUUUUUUUGAUAGAUUUUUAGUAGGUUUGAUAAUGAAUUUUUUGGAAAAAAAAUCUGUAAACAAAAUAUAAACGAAGCAUAUAGGAUGUAAAUUUCUCUUUUAUAUUCUGCUAGAAUGGCUACCUUUUGUUGUACACGAUUGAAGAAGAAUCCACAAUUCCCAAACUGGACUUAUUGUCUCAAAAAGUUCACUCACGGCCUCAUCUAAGACCAUUUGGCUGGGCCUUUCUUAUGUCAAAAGUUUUCAACACACUGUCUUACUGGUAAUUUGCACUGACAGACUCUGAAGUGAACUACUUUCUUUUCUAGAAUUGUUCAUAGACUUUAAUUUGUAGAUUAAUUAUUUUUAUAUUGUUAGGGACAACUGAGAUACGAAUUGAAUUUAAAAACCAUUGUGAUAUGAAUUAAAGUUUAGAAAUAAUUCAAAGAGAAAAUCGAUAGUUCAUGGUAAUUGGUGUCAAUUACUCCUCAUCUCACACGAACAACAAACUAUUGAUAUUUUCAUGUUGGUGCACUGCAUUUAGUCAAACAAACAAAAUUAGAGGAUGGCCAUUUUCUACAAUUUAUUUUGACUGGAAGAUUGGAUAUGUUUUGCAAUUUAUGAUUAAUAGUCUUAAAAGCUUAAAGGUGCAAGUUGCAAUAUAAAUAUAAAAAUUAGUUGCAAUUUAUUGGAGGCAAACUAUAGGUAGAUUUGGAGAGCAUUGAACUUGUCAUACUAUUUUGACAUGUCAAUGCAUCUAUAAGGACUGAGGAGUGAGCAAAGUUGAAUCUGCACUUGCCACGUUUCAUUAUUGUCUGGGGCAAAAAGGUAAAGGUUGUUGGGCAUUCUAUGACUAGUUUCAACAUAGAUUUGGAAGCAAUGCUAGAGCAGCUUAACCUCCUCAAUCCCGGGUGCAAAAUGAGUGUGCCAUAAAUAAAUGCUUGCUUCUCUGAUGCCUAUUUUUUGUCGUACUUUUUUAUUUUAUGAAAAAAAAAAUUGCAUCAAUUAUUGUGAGCAAUGCUUGUCACUUGAUAAUUUGUCAAAAAAAAUGAAAAAAUUGGAGUUACAUGGCGUGCUUGGAUUUGUCAAGAUAAGAGGUCAACCAUUGUUGUUUGUGAUUGAAUUUGGUCAUCUUAAAUGUCAUUUGGGAUGAAGGCCGAUACUCUUAUAUUCAUUGUUUGUAAUUUGGCAAAAGAAAACAAGAAAAUCGUAGUUACACCACAUGGCGUGCUUGGACAAGAUCGAUUUAAAAGGUUACCAAUGCCAUUUGUCAUUGAAUUUGGCCUCUCUUUUUUCUAUUGGAAGAUCAUUUUUGCCAUUUUGAACAAGAUAAAGAGGUAAUAAUGAAAAUAAACUUAACAUA
Mercurialis annua (annual mercury) is the source of this 4108-nucleotide long non-coding RNA. RefSeq lists it as uncharacterized. The record is from RefSeq and is a predicted model, not a curated record. The transcript has 4 exons. NCBI's taxonomy places the organism in Eukaryota, Viridiplantae, Streptophyta, Magnoliopsida, Malpighiales, Euphorbiaceae.